UGGGUGGCGAGUGGCGGACGGGUGAGUAAUGCAUCGGGAUCUACCCUGACGUGGGGGAUAACCUCGGGAAACCGGGACUAAUACCGCAUACGUCCUACGGGAGAAAGCGGGGGACCUUCGGGCCUCGCGCGGCAGGACGAACCGAUGUGCGAUUAGCUAGUUGGCGGGGUAAUGGCCCACCAAGGCGACGAUCGCUAGCUGGUCUGAGAGGAUGAUCAGCCACACUGGGACUG
Molecule: ribosomal RNA, 233 nt
Filed under: Rhodanobacter sp. FW104-R5
Lineage: Bacteria; Pseudomonadati; Pseudomonadota; Gammaproteobacteria; Lysobacterales; Rhodanobacteraceae
Description: partial 16S ribosomal RNA
Rfam family: Bacterial small subunit ribosomal RNA
Source: RNAcentral